Oryza sativa Japonica Group (Japanese rice) is the source of this 1141-nucleotide non-coding RNA. Lineage: Eukaryota; Viridiplantae; Streptophyta; Magnoliopsida; Poales; Poaceae. The record is from RefSeq and is a predicted model, not a curated record.
GCAGUCGCUUCUCCUCCCUUCUCCUUCACCCCGGCCCGCGCUCGCUUCUCCGCCCCGCACGCGCUCGCGGUCGCUUCUCCUCCGUCCCCUGCGAGAUGCGCGGCGGGCCCGCCGCGGAUGCGGUCGAUUCCCCUUCCCUUUGCGCUUUCUUAGGAUGUUCGCUGUCCUCCGCUUCCCCCCGCACCGAUCCUCCCCCUAGCCCGUCUUCGCCCCCCAUCGCAUCGCCUCCCGCACCAUCAAGAUUCCGGGGCCGGAGUCAUGCCCCCAGCGCAGCAGGUGGACCCUCCGCCCCAUGGCCGCAUCGCCUCCCCCCAGCGCUGCAGUCGCCCCUCCCGCUCUGCCCUGCGACGUCGCACCCUAGCGCCGCAGGUGCCUCACACCCCCAGCAGCCGCCUCCCAGCCUCUUCGCCUCCUUGGCUUGUAUGGAGAAAGGGAACCAUCGUUGGGCGCACGCUGAAACGGAAACCGUUCGAUCCCCGAGUCCCAUCUAUUCAUCUUCAGUUUUUUGAAACAGUACGUCGCCGCUUGCUUUAUACUGGCCUUCUUUCCCGUCCUAUUUAUGUAUGAUGAUACACACAACAGCUGAAGAAAAGUGGUACACAGCAGCUGGAUCAAUCUGCUCGGCCAGCUAGUAGCUUCUCCUCCAUACAAGCACAUCCUUGGAUUGAUCUGCUCUAGGAUUAACUACUUCGAUUUCGUCUUGGGUUUAUUACUGGAUUAAGUAAUCCACAACCGUUUUACCCAGGUUGUUGAACUAUUAUGGGGAAAUUUCUUUGACGAUAAUUCCCAACUUAUCAAAAGUUUGGUGAUCCUUUAGUCAGCCCUGUAAGCAUGAUUCAGUGAAGCCAUGGCUCAGAUGGCUUUGGCAAUUCUUUCAGUAACCAUCAAUAAUGCACUAUUGUGGUGUUUUACAUGAGGGGGUCUCAAUGCACUCAAAGUGAAGCAUUGCUAUCAGAUUAUUCCUUGCAAAAGUUGCUCCACUAUCAUCCAGAAUUUCAGACUGCAGUUGGUAUUGCGUCAGUUUCCCUUCUUUGCUUAUUUUUUUUUAUCUCACAAAGUGUACUUGGAUUUUUAAAUUCUAUUUCAAUACAAAUAUCCCGCCGCAACGCGCGGGGUAUCAACUAGUUUAUUUUAAUUCUAA